Molecule: long non-coding RNA, 744 nt
Filed under: Equus caballus (horse)
Lineage: Eukaryota; Metazoa; Chordata; Mammalia; Perissodactyla; Equidae
Description: lncRNA (ENSECAG00000056957.1)
Source: RNAcentral
CUUUAAGGAAGUUCAGCGUUAAACAUGAAACUCAACUCAGCUUAUCUUUGCUUUUCCCACUUAUGCUAAAAUGGGAGAGGAAGGAUCAGAGCGUUCUCCUGCCUCACUGGUGGUCAGCCCUGCACAUUCCAGCCAUCUCUGCAUCCCUGAACUCCAGCCUCUACCUCCCCAACUCAGUAGGAAUGAAGUGCUCUGUUUGGGUUCUUGCUACGUGGACCAUUGUCAGACUUCACUUCCCAUGGUAGAAGCAAAGAGGAGGCGCUCAGCUCUGAAAAGAAAAACGGGGGAACGUCACAAUGAAGAGGAAGCCCCUUUUUCUGUCCCUGGAUACAGUUGCAUCACAUAAUGACAGGGAUAUGUUCUAAGAUAAGUGACCUCAGACAUCUGAAGAAGGCUGGAUAAGAUCAGAGAUGAAUCAUGAGGCCUGGCCUCCAAAAAAAGUCAGAAGCACACACUGGAUGAGAAUGAAGGAACUCGUGGAAACAAAUGGAUCUCAAAGAUUUAAUGCAGCCAGGUCAUGUUCACUCUUGUCAACUUGAGUUGUGCAACACAGUUUAUCUUUUUUAAAUUUUCAUAGUAGUAUAUAAAGGAAUACAAAACAAAGCCACAAAAAUUACAGCUCCUUAUAAUAAUAAUAAAAAUAAAUUUGUAGAUAGAAAUUUAAGGAGUUUACUAAUAGUGCUAAGAAUUCUUAAAUGUACUUCUCUGAGGUUGACAAACUUAUGCAACAAAUCAAAAGAGCAG